This 465-nucleotide ribosomal RNA is filed under the name uncultured bacterium. RNAcentral's name for it is "partial 16S ribosomal RNA". It matches the Rfam family "Bacterial small subunit ribosomal RNA", at positions 338 to 795 of the family's 1533-position model. The record is from RNAcentral.
CCUACGGGAGGCAGCAGUAGGGAAUCUUCCACAAUGGGCGAAAGCCUGAUGGAGCAACGCCGCGUGGGUGAAGAAGGUCUUCGGAUUGUAAAACUCUGUUGUUAGAGAAGAAAGUGCGUGAGAGUAACUGUUUACGUUUUGACGGUAUCUAAACAGAAAGCCACGGCGAACUACGUGCCCGCAGUCGCGGGGAUACGUAGGGGGCAAGCGUUAUUCGGUUGGAUUGGGGUUAAAGGGAACGGAGGCGGUCUUUUAAGGUUGAUGUGAAAGGCUUCGGCUUAACCGGAGUAGUGCAUUGGAAACUGGGAGACUUGAGUGCAGGAGAGGAGAGUGGAAUUCGAGGUGUAGCGGUGAAAUGCGUAGAUAUAAGGAAGAACACCGGUGGCGAAGGCGGCUCACUGGUCUGUAACUGACGCUGAGGUUCGAAAGCGUGGGUAGCAAACAGGAUUAGAUACCCGAGUAGUC